CCCUGGUUAGCUUAGUUGGUAGAGCGCUCUACUGGGAAAUGAAGAGGGUCCUGGUUCGGUAUCAGGACCAGGCG
Molecule: transfer RNA, 74 nt
Filed under: Ixodes scapularis (black-legged tick)
Lineage: Eukaryota; Metazoa; Arthropoda; Arachnida; Ixodida; Ixodidae
Rfam family: tRNA
About the family: Transfer RNA (tRNA) molecules are approximately 80 nucleotides in length. Their secondary structure includes four short double-helical elements and three loops (D, anti-codon, and T loops).
Source: Rfam by way of RNAcentral